This 213-nucleotide unclassified non-coding RNA is filed under the name plant metagenome. Its description in RNAcentral is "partial contains small subunit ribosomal RNA, internal transcribed spacer 1, and 5.8S ribosomal RNA". The record is from RNAcentral.
UCUCCGUAGGUGAACCUGCGGAGGGAUCACUACAGGCUUGCAAAAGCUCUGAAACCACUGUUUAUCUACCUGAAUCUGCUUCGCCGGCCGGCCCCCGGGCGGGGCGGUAGCCGCAAGGCGCCCGCCGUAGACCCCUAAACUCUGUCGCCUUGAGAAUCCCUGAGGAAUAUAUUAAACAGAAAAAAACUUUCAACAACGGAUCUCUUGGCUCUG